This is a long non-coding RNA of Bombyx mori (domestic silkworm), 588 nucleotides long. RefSeq lists it as uncharacterized. The transcript has 2 exons. The record is from RefSeq and is a predicted model, not a curated record. Lineage: Eukaryota; Metazoa; Arthropoda; Insecta; Lepidoptera; Bombycidae.
UUACGGUUUUACAUAACAAUAAAACCGAUAUUAUGUGCCGAGAAGGAAAACAUACAGCAUUGUAUUAUGAAGAAGCAGUGUGUACUUAGCUUAAAUUCCUUGUCUAUGUCCAACCAUAGACAGUCAAUUUAGUUCCAUCUUUAGCCGCUAGGUGCUGCCAGCAAGUAUAAAGGAAGCGCAGCCAUCUUUGAUCUUCAUAGUCUUCACCAGGAAGAACUUCCUGCAAUGCUGUAUGUUUUCCUUCUCGGCACAUAAUAUCGGUUUUAUUGUUAUGUAAAACCGUAAUAUUGAUGUGCCUUUGGAAAACAUACAGCAUUGUAUUAUGAAGACGUGUUUGUUAUCUACUGGUGAAAUUAUUAAGCACAACGCUAUGAUGAAAUAGAAAGUCGACAGCGCUGCUUUAUGUAGAAGGAUUGUUUUACAGGCAAAAUUUUCUUUUUGGAAAAGAAAACAGAAUUUGGCAACAUCUGCAGACUUAGGAUCAAUUUUAAAACUGUAGCACCAUAUGCACCAUCUUCUAGUUGCUGGUAAGUAUGCUGGCAAAGUGGAUUGACACCAGCUAAUUUUCAAUAAAUCUUCUCCUGUGUA